RNAcentral lists this ribosomal RNA (313 nucleotides) under uncultured bacterium. RNAcentral describes it as "bacterial SSU rRNA". It matches the Rfam family "Bacterial small subunit ribosomal RNA", at positions 28 to 334 of the family's 1533-position model. The record is from RNAcentral.
GAUGAACGCUAGCGGCAGGCCUAACACAUGCAAGUCGAGGGGUAACAGGAGAGAGCUUGCUUUCUUGCUGACGACCGGCGCACGGGUGCGUAACGGGUAUACAAUCUACCUCAUACUGGGGAAUAGCCCGGAGAAAUUCGGAUUAAUGCCCCAUAAUAUAUUUGAUUCGCAUGUUUUAAAUAUUAAAGAUUUAUCGGUAUGAGAUGAGUAUGCUUCCCAUUAGCUAGUUGGUAAGGUAAUGGCUUACCAAGGCUACGAUGGGUAGGGGGCCUGAGAGGGUAGUCCCCCACACUGGUACUGAGACACGGACCAG